This 367-nucleotide ribosomal RNA is filed under the name uncultured soil bacterium. RNAcentral's name for it is "bacterial SSU rRNA". It matches the Rfam family "Bacterial small subunit ribosomal RNA", at positions 26 to 396 of the family's 1533-position model. The record is from RNAcentral.
AGAUUGAACGCUGGCGGCAGGCCUAACACAUGCAAGUCGAGCGCGAAAGUUCCUUCGGGAAUGAGUAGAGCGGCGGACGGGUGAGUAACGCGUAGGAAUUUGCCCAGUAGUGGGGGACAACUCGGGGGAAACUCGAGCUAAUACCGCAUACGCCCCAAGGGGGAAAGCAGGGGAUCUUCGGACCUUGCGCUAUUGGAUAAGCCUGCGUCGGAUUAGCUAGUUGGUGGGGUAAGGGCCUACCAAGGCAACGAUCCGUAGCUGGUCUGAGAGGAUGAUCAGCCACACUGGGACUGAGACACGGCCCAGACUCCUACGGGAGGCAGCAGUGGGGAAUAUUGGACAAUGGGGGCAACCUGAUCCAGCCAUG